Molecule: long non-coding RNA, 383 nt
Organism: Ostrinia nubilalis (European corn borer)
Lineage: Eukaryota; Metazoa; Arthropoda; Insecta; Lepidoptera; Crambidae
Exons: 2
Source: RefSeq, a predicted model, not a curated record
CUCGCUUGAAACUUGAACUUGAGCACCCGCGUACCGCUUGAUGCGGCGCGCGUCUUAAUAAAUCGAUCUCGUUGGCGUUUUUUCAUAGUGCGAGUUUAAUAAAACUUUAAUAAAACCUCACAGUUAAUCAAACUUAAGUGUCUAGCCUACAUUUCAUCCCGUAACUGGGAAUUACGGCCGGGCUCAGUUUGAGCUAGGACUUAUUGUGGACCGUUCCGGAGGGGACAGAGAAGUGGACAUCACGGCGUCCCACGGGGACCGCAGGAGGCCGCACAGGGGAGUCUGGCACAAGUGUUACGUGGAACCGAUCUUUUUACAACCUACCCACCUGUACCUUAAAAUCAAAUAUUUUUAAACUUAGAUUAAUAAAUUUUGUAAACUUA